Long non-coding RNA from Cyprinus carpio carpio, 2873 nucleotides. Lineage: Eukaryota; Metazoa; Chordata; Actinopteri; Cypriniformes; Cyprinidae. The record is from Ensembl.
ACGCACAUACAUAAUUUACAGUACAGAAACAUACACACGCUAAUGCUGUUAUUGCUACUCUGGCAAUUUUAUUUUAAAAGCUACAUGAUAUUUCUCACAAGCGAGGUAACAGCACUGUUUAUGAAGAAAAUUAACUUAAAGUUUCACUGUUAGUAUAGACGCUGCUGCCGAACAAUUUUGAGAGACACAUAAACUCAGAGAGGUAAUACUCUCUCUCUCUCUCUCUCUCUCUCUCUCUCUCUCUCUCUCUCUCUCUCUCUCUCUCUCUCUCUCUCUCUCUCUCUCUCUAUCGGAGUGGAUGCUGGGAACGAGUGCGUGUGUGAGAGACACGUGUGUGAGAGCGUCUGGCUUUUUUCAGUUUCCUUUAAGCUAUAUAAUUGCUUUUUCGUUUUUUUUUCUUAUUUAUUUAUUUUUAUUUUUUUCCAUUUUCUUUCACCUUUCAAAACACUUUUUUUAGGGAAGGUUUUAUUGUUAUUUCGUGUGGGGUGCGAGUGUGAGGCAACAUGACGUCCACCCCCGCGGGGGUGGCGUCGCCUCUCACCCUCCGGAAUGGUUUCAGGUGUACACCGGAGGCGAACACUGCUAUUGAGGAUGUUCUCCUUGCCGUCGGAGCCAAAGUUGGUCAUGAAAAUAUUAGCUCGGCUUCAAGAAUGAAUAAGGCAGUAGUCGUUUUUAAAAAAAAUGAAAAUCAGGUGAAAACCUUGAUUGAAAGCGGAAUAUGGAUCAAUGAAACGGUAUCUCAUGGAGAAGGUUCAUAUAUGGUGUAUGCUAGUACGGAGACUUUACGGUGCUUUGAGUGCGGGGAUUUUGGUCACAAACGGUUCACUUGUCCUCACAAAGCGCGUAAUCAUGAAGAGGAAGGCUCGUCUGAAGGCCCAGUCAAUACCCAGCUAGAAAUGUUACGUUCCCAGGACGUUCUCAGAACGUCCCCACUAGUGUCAAGGACGUCGCCUAGUAACGUUCCGGGAACGUUCGGAGACGGUCAUGAUGUGGAGUUCUUUAAAGGGUCGGGGGACGUUAUUUUGCGGACCUUCACAGAACAUUCAGGACGUUAUCGGAACGUUUAGGGGACCAUGUUUUAUUUGGAAAUGUGAUGUUCCCAGAACGUUCUAAGAACAUCCCCACUGGUCUCAAGGACCUGUAGGGAACCAAACUAGAAUGUUACUGCAAAAAACACUUCAGAACCUUAAUCAGGAAUAAGCAUGCACGUUUAACACACUCAAAGAUAAAAUCAGUCAUUUAUUUAUUUAUUUUGUGUGAACAAAAACAGAUUUUUCCAAAUAUUAGGAAACAGUAAUAACAACAAGAACAACGAUUUAUAUUAAUUUUAUGUUCAGUAAAUGCUGAACAACAAGUAACAAAAACAAUUAUUUAAAUUAAAUAUAUACUGUGUGUGUGUGUGUGUGUGUGUGCGUGCGUGCGUGCGUGUGUGCGUGUGUGCGUGUGUGUCAGUCAUUGUCUCCAUCCCCAGGAGGUGCCCGAAGUUCUUCUUCCGCUGCCUGAAAAAAUCAAACAUUAUAUUUACCAAUCACUUCAACGACUUUUUAAUUACUUUUAACUUCACUUUGUUUAUAAGUACUAAGUAAAUAAAUCAAAACAGUUAUGUUAUUCUAGAGAAUAUGUAUAUAUAUAUAUAGAGAGAGAGAGAGAGAGAGAGAGAGAGAGAGGGGAGGUCUCAUUGAAUAAAACAACUUACAGGUGUCGCGACCACCUUGGCACGGUGAGGUGCAUGUUUGAGGGUUUCCCCUAUACAUGUAUCAAUUUCCUUUUCUGUGUGUUUCGGAAAUUGUUUGGCACAAGCACCUAGAAGAGAAAAAAGGUAACAAAAUAAAUGUGAAAGUCUCUAAUGCAGGGCUCCAGACUAUGCUGGAAAGUUUUUACAAGAACAACAGUUCACAGCUCCACCGAACAAAAAUGGAAAAAAGAAGCACGUAAACAUUUAAAAUGGACCAUUAUUAUGACGUUAUUGUCAUACAUGAUUACAUUUUAAAAUAUGUAGACUAGGCUAUUAUAGUUAUUAUUAUAGUUUGGAUUAUUUUAUAUUUUUAUUUUAUAUUUUUUAUAAUAUCCCAUGAGUCCUAAUGCAAUUUCAACUAUUUCUGAAGCGCUUUUAUAAAGAACACCGCUUUCUCACAUAACGCAGUGAAGCAGCCCUGCACGAGAGAAUAAUUGAUUCUCGAGCCAUCGAUAUCAACAGAUUCAGCACCAUCGCCUCGGACAGCACCGGGGAACGGCGCGAUGUGGAAAUAAAAUUGCUACAUUAUGAGACACAAUUGCCCUGUUCCCUCCAAAAUUGAUAAAAAUGCAUAUUCUACAAGGGGGGUAAAACAAUCUAAAUAAAUCUAUGACGAUUAUCACUAUUGAAAUAAAAUGCGAAAAUAAAUUAAAAGUGUUUCGCCAUAUUACAGUAAGUAAGCCUAUACAUGGCAUGCAAAAUAUUAAUUUUUAUUUCAGCGUUGAGCAUUAUAAACAAUCAAACACGAAUCUGACGAGCUCAUGAUGCAAUAACCAAUCAUAUGAGUUUAGAUAGUGAAGAAAAAAACCUGCUGGUUCGCGGCAGUUUUUGCCGCGUUCACGCCAGUGCCGCUCACCUCAGACAGAGACAGACACAGUCUGGAUUUCACUGAAUUCACUCGAGGAAAACUGUAGAUGUAAGUAAGAUAUUAAUUUAAUUUAGCCUACAAUAAUUUGUAUUUAUUGUAAUAUUGAAAAUGUUUUUGUGCUUUCGUGAAAUUAAAUAUAAGCAUAGACCUAUAUACAGUUAGAGUCCUGCACAGGUUCGGGUACCCGCAGGUUUUUGCUCAAACGGGCGAAAAAUAUCCACCUGUGUCGGGUGCGGGUCGGGUCGGACACGGGGGAAACACGGGUUUAAA